UAAAAUAAUUAAGCAUUCCAAAGACAGCAGGUGCAUAUAUUGCAUAAAUCCUGCCGAGGAACUGGCAUAAUUUGUUUUUAGUUGAUUACUGCCCGUAUCCUCAUUUGGAUGCGGGCAUUUAGUUUU
This 126-nucleotide small RNA is filed under the name human gut metagenome. Its description in RNAcentral is "Ribosomal protein L10 leader". It matches the Rfam family "Ribosomal protein L10 leader". Rfam says of the family: This family is a putative r-protein leader autoregulatory structure found in B. subtilis and other low-GC Gram-positive bacteria. The record is from RNAcentral.